RNAcentral lists this ribosomal RNA (321 nucleotides) under uncultured bacterium. Its description in RNAcentral is "bacterial SSU rRNA". It matches the Rfam family "Bacterial small subunit ribosomal RNA", at positions 9 to 355 of the family's 1533-position model. The record is from RNAcentral.
GAGUUUGAUCAUGGCUCAGAACGAACGCUGGCGGCAUGCCUAACACAUGCAAGUCGAACGAUUGCCUUCGGGUGAUAGUGGCGCACGGGUGCGUAACGCGUGGGAAUCUGCCCUUAGGUUCGGAAUAACAGUUGGAAACGACUGCUAAUACCGGAUGAUGACGUUAAGUCCAAAGAUUUAUCGCCUAAGGAUGAGCCCGCGUAGGAUUAGCUAGUUGGUGUGGUAAGAGCGCACCAAGGCGACGAUCCUUAGCUGGUCUGAGAGGAUGAUCAGCCACACUGGGACUGAGACACGGCCCAGACUCCUACGGGAGGCAGCAGA